UCUUUUAUUGACUCUGUUACGGUGAUGUAAAAAUUAUUGGUUGGAUUUAGAUCUAAUUGAUUAUUGAAUACCCGUGAGCUAUCAACAGUGAGUGGAAUAGAUUUAAAAUUCACUAUUAAUAUUUCUAAUUUUAUGGCGUCCCUUACCUUCUUGCAGUCCUUUGUUACACAUAGAAUACUUUUACACGGUUCAGAUGAUCAACCUGUUACAAGCAAUUAUGAAAACUCCUCAUUGUAUGUGUUGGAUUGGUUAUUACCAAGAAUUGGACUUCUAGACAAGAUUAUAGUGAAGGAUGUAAGAACAUUAUGUGUAAAUCAUGAUUUUAAUUUUUAAGUUAAUCAAAUUUGGC
Arachis ipaensis is the source of this 349-nucleotide non-coding RNA. NCBI's taxonomy places the organism in Eukaryota, Viridiplantae, Streptophyta, Magnoliopsida, Fabales, Fabaceae. The record is from RefSeq and is a predicted model, not a curated record.